GAUGAAGAACGUAGUAAAAUGCGAUAAGUAAUGUGAAUUGCAGAAUUCAGUGAAUCAUCGAAUCUUUGAACGCACAUUGCGCCCGCCAGUAUUCUGGCGGGCAUGCCUGUUCGAGCGUCAUUUCAACCCUCAAGCACAGCUUGGUGUUGGGACUCGCGUUAAUUCGCGUUCCCCAAAUUGAUUGGCGGUCACGUCGAGCUUCCAUAGCGUAGUAGUAAAACCCUCGUUACUGGUAAUCGUCGCGGCCACGCCGUUAAACCCCAACUUCUGAAUGUUGACCUCGGAUCAGGUAGGAAUACCCGCUGAACUUAAGCAUAUCAUAAGCGGAGGA
Molecule: unclassified non-coding RNA, 331 nt
Filed under: soil metagenome
Description: partial contains 5.8S ribosomal RNA, internal transcribed spacer 2, and large subunit ribosomal RNA
Rfam family: 5.8S ribosomal RNA (bases 1-120)
Source: RNAcentral